AUAAAUGCUAUGAAAAGAAGAGUAACAAAUGAAAGUGUAUAAAGAGAGCCAGAUAAGGUGAAAGCUGGUUACAUGGAAGUUUGUGAAGAUGGUCUUGGAGCAGGGUAUUUGAAAUUUUUAGAAUACUACCGUUGCAACGGUUAUAAUGCAAAGUGAUAAAAUUAAUUAUUAUUAAGGAGUCACUUAUUAAGAAUUUUGUUGUGAAACAAAGUUAAAUUAGAGUGGUAACGCGUAAAUUACGUCUCUAAG
Molecule: non-coding RNA, 249 nt
Filed under: Clostridium botulinum
Lineage: Bacteria; Bacillati; Bacillota; Clostridia; Eubacteriales; Clostridiaceae
Description: T-box sequence
Rfam family: T-box leader
About the family: Uncharged tRNA acts as the effector for transcription antitermination of genes in the T-box leader family. T-boxes are found upstream of many aminoacyl-tRNA synthetase genes and some amino acid biosynthetic genes usually in Gram-positive bacteria.
Source: RNAcentral